UUAAAUUGAGAGGAGGGAGUGGAGUAAACGCGGAGGAAAAGAGCAUUAUCAGAGAUCGAUAGGUGUAAAGCGUCUGUAGGCUGUUGUGGAAGUCAGAGGGGAAAGGUUUAGGCAUAAGGAAGAAAUGGCCAUUGAUGAUGUGGGGAUUGAAUAUGUGUGAGGUAACGAGAAUAGGUAGGGGAGCGGUGAAAUGCAAAGAGAUUACAUGGAAUACGAAGUGCGAAGGCAGGUUACUAAAAAAUGAUUGACGCUGAUGGACGAAAGCGUGGGUAGCGAACAGGAUUAGAUACCCGUGUAGUC
RNAcentral lists this ribosomal RNA (300 nucleotides) under uncultured Vagococcus sp. Its description in RNAcentral is "bacterial SSU rRNA". The stretch from base 60 to 300 matches the Rfam family "Bacterial small subunit ribosomal RNA", at positions 555 to 795 of the family's 1533-position model. Lineage: Bacteria; Bacillati; Bacillota; Bacilli; Lactobacillales; Enterococcaceae. The record is from RNAcentral.